GACGAACGCUGGCGGCGUGCUUAACACAUGCAAGUCGAGCGGUAAGGCCCUUUCGGGGGUACACGAGCGGCGAACGGGUGAGUAACACGUGGGUGACCUGCCCUCAGCUCUGGGAUAAGCCUGGGAAACUGGGUCUAAUACUGGAUAUGACUCCACGGUGCAUGUCGUGGGGUGGAAAGCCUUGUGCGGCUGAGGAUGGGCCCGCGGCCUAUCAGCUUGUUGGUGGGGUGANGGGCCUACCAAGGCGACGACGGGUAGCCGGCCUGAGAGGGCGACCGGCCACACUGGGACUGAGACACGGCCCAGACUCCUACGGGAGGCAGGCAGUGGGGGAAUCUUGCGCAAUGGGCGAAAGCCUGACGCAGCGACGCCGCGUGAGGGAUGACGG
Molecule: ribosomal RNA, 388 nt
Filed under: uncultured bacterium
Lineage: Bacteria
Description: bacterial SSU rRNA
Rfam family: Bacterial small subunit ribosomal RNA
Source: RNAcentral